GACGAACGCUGGCGGCGUGCUUAACACAUGCAAGUCGAACGGAAAGGCCCUGCUUUUGUGGGGUGCUCGAGUGGAGAACGGGUGAGUAACACGAGUGUAACCUGCCCUUGACUUUGGGAUACCUUCAGGAAACUGGGGCUAAUACCGGAUAGGCGCUCCUGCCGCGUGGUGGGGGGUGGAAAGUUUCGGCGGUUGGGGAUGGACUCGCGGCUUAUCAGCUUGUUGGUGGGGUAGUGGCUUACCAAGGCUUUGACGGGUAGCCGGCCUGAGAGGGUGACCGGCCACAUUGGGACUGAGAUACGGCCCAGACUCCUACGGGAGGCAGCAGUGGGGAAUAUUGCACAAUGGGCGGAAGCCUGAUGCAGCAACGCCGCGUGCGGGAUGACGGCCUUCGGGUUGUAAACCGCUUUCGCCUGGGACGAAGCGUGAGUGACGGUAAUGGGUAAAGAAGCACCGGCUAACUACGUG
Molecule: ribosomal RNA, 468 nt
Filed under: uncultured bacterium
Lineage: Bacteria
Description: partial 16S ribosomal RNA
Rfam family: Bacterial small subunit ribosomal RNA
Source: RNAcentral